ACGGGAGGCAGCAGUGAGGAAUAUUGGUCAAUGGGCGAGAGCCUGAACCAGCCAUGUCGCGUGGAGGAAUAAGGAUCUAUGGUUCGUAAACUCCUUUUGCGGGGGGAUAAAGUGCGGGACGCGUCCCGUUUUGUAGGUACCCCGCGAAUAAGCAUCGGCUAACUCCGUGCCAGCAGCCGCGGUAAUACGGAGGAUGCGAGCGUUAUCCGGAUUUAUUGGGUUUAAAGGGAGCGUAGGCGGCCUUUUAAGUCAGCGGUCAAAUGUCAGCGCCCAACGCUGGCCUGCCGUUGAUACUGAUGGGCUUGAAUACACACAAGGAAGGUGGAAUUCGUCGUGUAGCGGUGAAAUGCUUAGAUAUGACGAAGAACUCCGAUUGCGAAGGCAGCCUUCUGGAGUGCGAUUGACGCUGAGGCUCGAAAGCGCGGGUAUCAAACAGGAUUAGAUACCCUGGUA
RNAcentral lists this ribosomal RNA (453 nucleotides) under uncultured Paraprevotella sp. RNAcentral describes it as "partial 16S ribosomal RNA". It matches the Rfam family "Bacterial small subunit ribosomal RNA", at positions 341 to 792 of the family's 1533-position model. Lineage: Bacteria; Pseudomonadati; Bacteroidota; Bacteroidia; Bacteroidales; Prevotellaceae. The record is from RNAcentral.